RNAcentral lists this long non-coding RNA (2050 nucleotides) under Lathyrus oleraceus (garden pea). RNAcentral's name for it is "Pisum sativum (pea) long non-coding RNA (PSAT_LNC010868)". Lineage: Eukaryota; Viridiplantae; Streptophyta; Magnoliopsida; Fabales; Fabaceae. The record is from RNAcentral.
GAAUCUAUGACACACCUUUUCAUUCUGUGAGAAGCCAUAACCCAUUACUUUCUUACAUGAGAAUCUAUAACACACCUUUUCAUUCUUUGAGAAGCCAUAACCCAUCACUUUGUUACGUGAGAAUCUGCAACACACCUUUUUAUUCUGUGAGAAGUUGGAACCUGUCACUUUGUUAUGUGAGAAUCCAUAACAAAUCUUUUCAUUUUGUGAGAAUCCAAAACCUACCAUUUUGUUAUCAAGACUGUUGAAUGCCACUUGGUUCAUUAUGUGAGAAUCCAGAACUUACCAUUUUGUUCCAAAGAUUGUCGAAUGCCUUUGGUUAAUUUUGUGAGAAUUCAGAACUCACUAUCUCUUUUGAAGCAUCCUCCAAGGAACAUUUUCCCUAGUCAUUUUGUUGUAUAUAUUCCAGUAGAUCUUCUUUCCAAAUUACCUUGUUUAAUCCCCAAUGAGUUCACCUUGAAUUUUUCGUUCCUACUAAAGGAAUUUUGCAAAUACUCAUCCCAUUUCAUAUCCCCAACAAGAGAAGUCUCCAUAAACUCAUAGCAUGUCAUCUCAUCAAGGGACAAAAUUUGUUUCCUUUGUAUUUAAUUAUCCUUCACCACGAUUGUAUGAAGACUGUCGUUAUUCAUAUCCUCAGGGUAAAAGUAAUUAAAUAGGGGAAACUAUCAUAAAUCAAGUUUUCCCCUUACCAAUUCACCCACCCCUCAUGGAAUUUGUCUCAUUUUCUUAUCAUUACAUGCAUUUCUUUAGGCACAAUUCCAAAAGUCAACCAUCAUUUUUAUACUAUUUAAAAAUCCAUUUGCCCUAAUUCAUUUAGUCAUGUUUAGUUCAUAUUUUAUCCAUUUAUGCAUCAUUUCAUUUAAUGCCAUUUAAUAUACAUUACAUAUUCACAUUUGAAAAUGAGAAGGAAAUUUGAAUUAAAUUUGGUUCAUUCAUGUUCACGUUUGUUACAUCACCAGACAUGAUCAUCAUGCACCAUUACAUUCACCACAUUAACAUCAUUCAUUUACAAAAUCGAAGUUCGAAUUGAUAUAAAUACAAUUUCAAAUUAAAUAUCGUCCAAGUUCUUUUCCAUUCAAAAUUCAAGCCAAUUUGAAUUACCUCAUUAAUUCAUACACUAAUAUUACCAUACAAGUUAAAAUAAGACAAAAUAAAGUAUAGAAUUGGAAACAAAAUUGCAAAGAAGAAGAUCAAAACUAUUUAUUCCAUUAAUAAAAAAUAAUACAUGUUACAUUGAGAAUUUAAGCAAGUUACAUUGAGAAGUUUGAACAUGGCCCCCUACACAACCUCCAAUGGAUCACUCUUCACUCCUCACAAAAUCCCCAUAAAAUCAGUAACAAAAUUUUGCAAAUAUCUCAAAUUACAGCUUGCAAAUUCAUCACACGCUCUUCACUCUCAAGGAUCCCACGAAAUCAGCAAUUCACACAAAUCACUCAAAGUUCACCCACUUGAAAUCUCAUCUCACACAUUCACCUACACCUAAUUCAUUCACCAAUAAAGCCUAAAUUUAAUACACUAAGAUGGAGACCACAAAUUCAACUGAGAAAGCAAUCUACAACAACCUUUAAUCUCGUAAACCCUUCACUGAAAGCUCUCUACAAAAGCAAUUAGAGCUUCACCUUGAAGCUCUAAUUGAACUGAGCUAAACCUCAUCCAAGAAACCUCAGUAGUAGAAACAUUAAAACACACAUACACAAGAAAUGUAAGAAGAAAUUAAAAGAAGAACAAGGAGAAAAUACGAAGUAGGGAAGAAAAUAAGUUGUUACCUGCAAUUUUGUCGUCAUUGGAAAUCGCAACCGACGUGCCGAAAAUUAUUUUGCUCCGAUUCGAUACUCCCUCUAUUUUCAUUUGAUUAUGUUAAUGUACACUUCUUGAGUAUUUAUCCCUCAAAUCAAUUUCAUAAAAACGCGAAUCAAACACUUAAUAAACAUCAAGUUCUUUUAUGCUUAAUCAACAACACUUUGAAAUCUUUUUCAUAAUAAAUUAAGCCGGUUGGAAAAGGAUAUGUUUAGACAUAAUAUCCUCUCUUUUCCCCUAGUAUUUGAAUGAA